Molecule: ribosomal RNA, 231 nt
Filed under: uncultured Leptolinea sp.
Lineage: Bacteria; Bacillati; Chloroflexota; Anaerolineae; Anaerolineales; Anaerolineaceae
Description: partial 16S ribosomal RNA
Rfam family: Bacterial small subunit ribosomal RNA
Source: RNAcentral
UGCCGGUCUUAAGCCGGAGGAAGUGGGGAUGAUGUCAAGUCAGCAUGGCCUUUAUAUCCUGGGCUACACACACGCUACAAUGGCCAACACAAUAGGUUGCUAAGCCGCGAGGUGGCGCCAAUCCAUAAAGUUGGUCUCAGUUCAGAUUGUAGGCUGCAACCCGCCUGCAUGAAGAUGGAGUUGCUAGUAACCGCAGGUCAGCUAUACUGCGGUGAAUACGUUCCCGGGCUU